Molecule: small RNA, 28 nt
Filed under: Bombyx mori (domestic silkworm)
Lineage: Eukaryota; Metazoa; Arthropoda; Insecta; Lepidoptera; Bombycidae
Description: piRNA piR-bmo-1459068
Source: RNAcentral
UAGCCCAACGAACCAGUGUGUACCAUUC